This 275-nucleotide unclassified non-coding RNA is filed under the name Raphidiopsis curvata CHAB1150. RNAcentral describes it as "partial contains 16S ribosomal RNA and 16S-23S ribosomal RNA intergenic spacer". The stretch from base 1 to 98 matches the Rfam family "Bacterial small subunit ribosomal RNA", at positions 1438 to 1533 of the family's 1533-position model. The record is from RNAcentral. Lineage: Bacteria; Bacillati; Cyanobacteriota; Cyanophyceae; Nostocales; Aphanizomenonaceae.
UUUCACGUAAAGGGGGGGAGCCUAAGGUAGGACUGGUGACUGGGGUGAAGUCGUAACAAGGUAGCCGUACCGGAAGGUGUGGCUGGAUCACCUCCUUUUAGGGAGACCUACCCAUUGAAGAAUCGAAAGCCGAAGGCGAAUAGAGAAUCAAAUGGUCUACUCUAGGUCGGUCGAGAAUUGGUCAAGUCUCUUUCAAAGUAUUAUAUUUCCGGUGAUUCCCAGCAACUAGGAAAGACCUAGACUGCUGGUGAGAACCAGCCAGAACCUUGAAAAAA